GAUCAUUACUGAUUUGCUUAAUUGCACCACAUGUGUUUUUCUUUGAAACAAACUUGCUUUGGCGGUGGGCCCAGCCUGCCGCCAGAGGUCUAAACUUACAACCAAUUUUUUAUCAACUUGUCACACCAGAUUAUUACUUAAUAGUCAAAACUUUCAACAACGGAUCUCUUGGUUCUCGCAUCGAUGAAGAACGCAGCGAAAUGCGAUACGUAAUAUGAAUUGCAGAUAUUCGUGAAUCAUCGAAUCUUUGAACGCACAUUGCGCCCUCUGGUAUUCCGGAGGGCAUGCCUGUUUGAGCGUCGUUUCUCCCUCAAACCGCUGGGUUUGGUGUUGAGCAAUACGACUUGGGUUUGCUUGAAAGACGGUAGUGGUAAGGCGGGAUCGCUUUGACAAUGGCUUAGGUCUAACCAAAAACAUUGCUUGCGGCGGUAACGUCCACCACGUAUAUCUUCAAACUUGACCUCAAAUC
RNAcentral lists this unclassified non-coding RNA (469 nucleotides) under Candida albicans. Its description in RNAcentral is "sequence contains 18S rRNA gene, ITS1, 5.8S rRNA gene, ITS2, 28S rRNA gene". The stretch from base 149 to 302 matches the Rfam family "5.8S ribosomal RNA". The record is from RNAcentral. Lineage: Eukaryota; Fungi; Ascomycota; Pichiomycetes; Serinales; Debaryomycetaceae.